UCAGUUACGUAACAAAGGGGAUUCUAUAUACAACAAACACCUGGAAUCGUUGUCAUCCAUUACUUCCCAAAAAACACAGAAGCAGGGAUGCCUAGGACUGACUACAGUGCAAAUACAGUGCAGUUACAUUCAUACAUGAUACCCUUGCACAUGCUGUUUGGUUUCAUAUUCUGCUUUAUAUAU
This is a long non-coding RNA of Nanorana parkeri, 183 nucleotides long. RefSeq lists it as uncharacterized. The transcript is spliced from 3 exons. Lineage: Eukaryota; Metazoa; Chordata; Amphibia; Anura; Dicroglossidae. The record is from RefSeq and is a predicted model, not a curated record.